Long non-coding RNA from Leopardus geoffroyi (Geoffroy's cat), 300 nucleotides. RefSeq lists it as uncharacterized. NCBI's taxonomy places the organism in Eukaryota, Metazoa, Chordata, Mammalia, Carnivora, Felidae. The record is from RefSeq and is a predicted model, not a curated record. The transcript has 2 exons.
UUCCUAAUAGGCACACUGAAAGCUAAAUUUUAAUUUUUCAUAAGCUUUGAAAUGCAGUUAUUUAAUUACACUUCAUUCCAAAUAUUGAUCAGUUUCUGCUUUUGUCUCUUUUGACCCAUCAGUUAUUUAAAACUGUGUUCUCCAAUUGCUAAACAUAUGACAUUUUAUUUACUUUUCUUUUAGUUACAUUGUGGUGAGGAAAUGUUGUUUAUAUUAUUUUAAUACUAUAAAAAUUUUAAGCAUUUCUUCUUGGAUAAAUGUAAGAGUAAUGAUAAUAAAUGUUUCCUAUGUACUUGAAAA